GCCAACCUAUCUAUCACUGCUAAUCUAUCGCUGCCAACCUACCUACCGCUGCCAACCUAUCUAUCGCUGCUAAUCUAUCACUGCUAAUCUAUCGCUGCUAAUCUAUCGCUGCUAAUCUACCGCUGCCAACCUACCUACCACUGCCAACCUAUCUAUCGCUGCUAAUCUAUCGCUGCUAAUCUACCGCUGCCAACCUACCUACCACUGCCAACCUACCUACCACUGCCAAUCUAUCUAUCGCUGCUAAUCUAUCGCUGCUAAUCUAUCGCUGCUAAUCUAUCGCUGCUAAUCUAUCGCUGCUAAUCUAUCGCUGCUAAUCUAUCGCUGCUAAUCUAUCGCUGCUAAUCUAUCGCUGCUAAUCUAUCGCUGCUAAUCUAUCGCUGCUAAUCUAUCGCUGCUAAUCUAUUGCUGCUAAUCUAUCACUGCCAACCUACCUACCGCUGCCAACUUGGUCCCAUUUUGUAAAAUGGGACCAAAUGGGACCAGAAUCACUAAUUUAUUAGUAAAACAUGAUCUGGGACUAGAUUUAUAAUAUAAACAGUGUAAAGUGACUAAUUUGUUAAACACUAUAUGAAAUCAGAACUAAGAUAUCUAAUAAUGAAACUGAGGAAAAAUUUAGUCCCAGUCUUAUGUAUGAUCACACAGUCAGUCUAAGUCAGAGAGAUCAGAGUAAAAGAAAUAUUGAAGAUUACACUCUGAAAGAGUGCAGAGUAAAAGAAUUGUUAGAGUGUUAAGAUAUAUAUAAUUAUAAAAUGAAAUUGCAAAAAGAUGUGAGAGAACUUUAUAAGCAUAUGUAAGUAUAUAAGCACACAGUAGAGGGUUGAUUGUGUAAAUUAACUAUUAAUAGAUGCUAAUCUAUCACAAUUACAAAUCUACAGCACAACUCUGAAAAUUAUUGAAUAAAAAAUAAUUAAAUAAAAAGAAAUAUAUAAACUAAUAUUGAAAAAGAAAAGAUCUGAUUAAUUAGUAGAAAUGAUAAAUUAUAUAAUAUAAUAAAUUAUUUGAAUCAUUUAGAUUAUCUGAAUAAGUAAAGUAAUUACAGUUAUUUUUAUUUUAAUAACUAUUUUAAUAAAAGCUAUCUGAGUUAUUCUUAUAUAUCUCAAGAUGUAUUUAAACACACUUAUUACUCUUAGAAUCAAGAAGUUUAUUUUCUUAAUCACAAUCAAUUUUAUUUUAUUUUCUUACUUCUCUAAAUACCUCUACUUAUAUUAGACUGAUUGAUGGGAUCAUGAAUUUCACAUUUGAUUUGAUUUGAUUUGAUUUCAGUUCAUUUCUUGGCAUUAUUUUAGUGAGAUUAGAAUCAGAAUGAAAGUAUAAAGUGACUAGAAUUAUUAAAACAUGAGUGAAAUGAGAUUAAUAAAUCUUGAUAUUUUAUAUAAAGUGACUGAUUAUCAAAAACAAGAAUAUAAUCUGAAACUGAUUAUGAUUUUGACUCAAGUUUGAUCCCAUUCUGAUGAUUAUAUAAUACAUCAAUCUGAUGAUAUAAUUGGUGGAGAUAUUACCUCUAUCUUACUUAGUACUCAAUGCUCUUCUAUCUACCACUGUCAAUCUAUCUAUCACUGCUAAUCUAUACUGCUGUCAAUCUAUCUAUUGCUGCUAAUCUAUUGCUGUCAAUCUAUCUACUGCUGUCAAUCUAUCUAUUGCUGUCAAUCUAUCUACCACUGCUAAUCUAUCACUGCUAAUCUAUCACUACUAAUUUAUCACUGCUAAUCUAUCACUGCUAAUCUAUCUACUGCUGUCAAUCUAUCUAUUACUGUCAAUCUAUCUACCACUGCUAAUCUAUUGCUGCUAAUCUAUCACUGCUAAUCUAUUGCUGCUAAUCUAUUGCUGUCAAUCUAUCUACUGCUGUCAAUCUAUCUAUUGCUGUCAAUCUAUCUACCACUGCUAAUCUAUCACUGCUAAUCUAUCACUGCUAAUCUAUUGCUGCUAAUCUAUCACUGUCAAUCUAUCUACUGCUGCC
RNAcentral lists this small RNA (1960 nucleotides) under Histoplasma capsulatum. RNAcentral describes it as "hypothetical RNA". Lineage: Eukaryota; Fungi; Ascomycota; Eurotiomycetes; Onygenales; Ajellomycetaceae. RNAcentral also lists the same sequence under 1 other name. The record is from RNAcentral.